GAAAGCCGGAGACUCCUGGAAGGGCCUGGGUGGAGGGUUUCACUCGUCCCUCUGAAGAAAUCUUAGAAUUAUGUUUUCUGCCUUAGUUGGGGUCCUGGUUGUUCGUGCUGUAUUCCCCGGAAGCUUAACGCUUUUUAUUCAGAGAACCUAAGCGUCUGGAGAGCAAACUCCCGUGGGCUCUAUCUAAGGCAUUUCCACUACCUUGAUCUCUUUGGAGGUCGCCUGCGUGCUUUGUGUCUCCUGGUUCUAAUCCUGGCGAGAAGCACUUGGACACUUGUAGGCUUAACACCUGAAAACAAUUUCGCUUAAACAGUCCAGUAAACACUUGUUAAGUGAACGUUGAGGAAUAGCUGUUUUAAUUUGGAAAAUUUUGACAUGUAGUUAUAACAAAACCCCAUAUUUAUUUUCUGCUAAUAGAUUUUUUUUUUUAAUUUCUCAAAACUGCAUAGCUCUUGUCCAUUUCCUAGUUGCCUGCUGAUUAUUGUGGCUUCAACAAUGCCAGGGUACAGCUUUUCAAAGCUGGUAGAAGACACAAUUGGAGACUUUAGCCAUUUUUAUUUAUACAUAUCCUUGUGCCAAGUAUUGGUAUUUUUGCUUUCUACCCUGGUAAAAUCUGUGGUUUGUGAUCAACCCUACCCAAUUAUUUUUCUAUGUAAA
Molecule: long non-coding RNA, 657 nt
Filed under: Homo sapiens (human)
Lineage: Eukaryota; Metazoa; Chordata; Mammalia; Primates; Hominidae
Description: non-protein coding lnc-FGB-7:1
Source: RNAcentral